GGCUUCGUUGCUCAACUGGUAGAGCUCUUGCCGUGUUUGGGCAUGGUGUUUUUGUCGCUGGGCCGAAUCCAGCUGAAGCCU
Paragonimus skrjabini miyazakii is the source of this 81-nucleotide non-coding RNA. Lineage: Eukaryota; Metazoa; Platyhelminthes; Trematoda; Plagiorchiida; Troglotrematidae. The record is from the annotation of a GenBank genome assembly.